GAUGAAGAACGCAGCGAAAUGCGAUAAGUAGUGUGAAUUGCAGAAUUCAGUGAAUCAUCGAAUCUUUGAACGCACAUUGCGCCCCUUGGUAUUCCAUGGGGCAUGCCUGUUCGAGCGUCAUUUGUACCUUCAAGCUUCGCUUGGUGUUGGGUGUUUGUCUCGCCUCUGCGUGUAGACUCGCCUCAAAACAAUUGGCAGCCGGCGUAUUGAUUUCGGAGCGCAGUACAUCUCGCGCUUUGCACUCAUAACGACGACGUCCAAAAGUACAUUUUUACACUCUUGACCUCGGAUCAGGUAGGGAUACCCGCUGAACUUAAGCAUAUCAAUAAGCGGAGGA
Molecule: unclassified non-coding RNA, 337 nt
Filed under: soil metagenome
Description: partial contains 5.8S ribosomal RNA, internal transcribed spacer 2, and large subunit ribosomal RNA
Rfam family: 5.8S ribosomal RNA (bases 1-120)
Source: RNAcentral